RNAcentral lists this transfer RNA (70 nucleotides) under Dipodomys ordii (Ord's kangaroo rat). It matches the Rfam family "tRNA". Rfam says of the family: Transfer RNA (tRNA) molecules are approximately 80 nucleotides in length. Their secondary structure includes four short double-helical elements and three loops (D, anti-codon, and T loops). The record is from Rfam by way of RNAcentral. Lineage: Eukaryota; Metazoa; Chordata; Mammalia; Rodentia; Heteromyidae.
GGCUCUGUGGUUCAGUGGUAGAGUACUUGCCUUGCAUGCAUGAGGGCCUGGGUUCGAUUCCUCAGUACCA